CUCUCCCAUGGCUGAAUGUAGCGAUAAAGAUUUGGAAUCAGCUGGUCUUCUUCAUGACUCAUUCCACUCCGGAAGUGGGUUACACCAACAUCUGUCUGCUGGCUAUAUCGCAGGUCACUUUGUGGGAUCAAUAUGUGACCCAUCGAUAGCAUGCCAAGUCCUCCGAUUUCUUUUGGUGUAUAGAAGAUGACAGGAGGAAAUCGGCUUGGCAUCUUUGAGUUCAACCCAAUUUUGAUACGAGUUUGGAUUUUAUUUUCACAUUUAACCAGUAAAUCUAAUAGCUCUUGAGUAUGCACAGUUGCUUCACGGAAAUAAGUCAUCAAACCUAUCAGGGCUGUAUUCCAUUUGUUGACUAUUUUUGUGAAAGUAGUUGACCCUGAAGACAUAAGAAUCUGCCUCACACGAUUCUCAAACACCUUCAUGUGCUCAUCAUCAACCCGUAGGAAAGCAACAGCCGUUCGCUCUUUAGUCUGCUCAUUCUGCAAAUUCCAAACACCAUCUCUGGUAUUGCUGAAUGCUUCC
This 522-nucleotide unclassified non-coding RNA is filed under the name Hevea brasiliensis (rubber tree). The record is from RNAcentral. Lineage: Eukaryota; Viridiplantae; Streptophyta; Magnoliopsida; Malpighiales; Euphorbiaceae.